This 466-nucleotide ribosomal RNA is filed under the name uncultured bacterium. Its description in RNAcentral is "partial 16S ribosomal RNA". It matches the Rfam family "Bacterial small subunit ribosomal RNA", at positions 28 to 507 of the family's 1533-position model. The record is from RNAcentral.
GAUGAACGCUGGCGGCGUGCUUAACACAUGCAAGUCGAACGGUGAAAGAGAGCUUGCUCUCUGGAACAGUGGCGAACGGGUGAGUAACACGAGAGCAAUCUGCCCCUGACUCUGGGAUAAGCGCUGGAAACGGCGUCUAAUAUCGGAUCCGAGCUGCGAAGGCAUCUUCAGCAGCUGGAAAGAACUUCGGUCAGGGAUGAGCUCGCGGCCUAUCAGCUAGUUGGUGAGGUAACGGCUCACCAAGGCGUCGACGGGUAGCCGGCCGGAGAGGGUGACCGGCCACACUGGGACUGAGACACGGCCCAGACUCCUACGGGAGGCAGCAGUGGGGAAUAUUGCACAAUGGGCGAAAGCCUGAUGCAGCAACGCCGCGUGAGGGACGACGGCCUUCGGGUUGUAAACCACUUUUAGCAGGGAAGAAGCGAGAGUGACGGUACCUGGAGAAAAAGCACCGGCUAACUACGUG